GUUGUCCAUCUGAACACUAUAGCAGAUCAAGCCGUUGCCGACAGUGCAAUACCAACUAAAAUUAUGAGGGUACUUGAACAAUACACAGACAUGUUUGAAGAGCCCCGGGGCCUACCUCCUCGCCGAGAGUGUGAUCACAUAAUACCAUUAAUGGAAGGUGCUCAACCAGUGAACUUGCAACCAUAUCGCCACAAACCUGAGAUGAAAAUAGAAAUUGAGAGGCAGGUUAAAGAGCUAUUGGAUGCUGGCGUUAUUCAAAAAAGCAACAACCCUUUCUCCUCACCUGCUCUGUUAGUGAAGAAGAAGGAUGUCACGUGGCGAUUGUGUGUGGAUUACCAUCACCUCAGUGCUAUGACUAUAGUGAACAAAUACCCAGUAGCGAUAAUCGAUGAACUGUUCGAUGAGUUGGUGGGGGCAAGAUGGUUUUCCAAGCUUGAUUUGCAUGUGGGGCAUUGA
This 456-nucleotide ribosomal RNA is filed under the name Triticum aestivum (bread wheat). RNAcentral describes it as "partial small subunit ribosomal RNA". The record is from RNAcentral. Lineage: Eukaryota; Viridiplantae; Streptophyta; Magnoliopsida; Poales; Poaceae.